UAUAAACUCAUGAGCAACCCCUUAGUUAGCCGAUGUGGGACUCCUCUCCCAACGAUUCUCAACAUUUAACAAAUUAAUUGUUUACCUUUUCUCCAAUGGCAUCCUGUAUAAUGUUCAUGUGACUACUGAUUCCAGUGAUUAUUUCGACAGUCGUGAGAUCUGUGUCAAAAGCACCAAUUUCCUGACUAAGCACUGAUUGCAUGAACGCCAAUCUUAGGCGAGCCGUCUGUCUCUCACUUGCAUACAUCCAACACCCAAUUUCUAUAGAGAGAAUGAAAAUGUAAGUAUACUUUCCAUAUGUGAAGUGAUUGAUUCAAAUAUUGUUGAAGGAAGAAAGGGAUUUUACCAAGUAUUCCUGCAGGGAAAGUGGCGAUGGCCAUGUACCAUACAAAUGGAAUCACCUACCAAAACAUGAAAACAAAAUAAAUCCUCACAUAGUACCUUUCUAUACAAAAUAAUAAUAUGAACACAAUUGGUAAGUAUACCUCAUAGAGGGCAUCAACCAUUGCAUCAAGGUCAUCGAUAUUAUUUCCAAAUGCAUCAAGUGCUUUGCCAAGCAACAGAUACCCAAUUGGCUGAGCCAUGCCAUGGACAACAGAACCCAAUGUCCCCAAAGCCAUUAAGACCCAAUCCAAAGCAUCAGCAUAGCCAAGAAGCUUGUGGAAUGGCAAAGCAUCAUCAAUGGAGAUACCACUGUCAUCACAAAUAGAGGAGGAAGGAAAUCAAACCCAAACGAGGCAAAUCGUGUGGAUGAUCAUUGAAAAAAUUGAUCAGAAACAUAGGAGAGUUUUCGGGAAAUCGGGUUGAGAAGACGAAGUCCACGGGUUGGGAUUCGGUUCAGUUUUGGGUGGCCUAGUAGCCGGCAAACGUUCACCGGACCCAACCUCUACGUAACUCAGUUCAUAGCCCAAGUAGUAACUAGGCGUCUAGCCUAGGAUCGACGCUCGGCCCAACCUAUUGGACGAUAUCGGUCCAGCAUGCAGGCGACUCGUGACCUACGCUUCAACCCACGAAUUGUGCGUUAAUCGGAGUUGCGACCCACGCUGCACUGUUUGGUACCGAUUCCUACAUUUUCAACCCUUUCAGAUGUUUUUGAUCUUAUUAAAGACAUUUAAGGUUAGGGUAAAUUAUUUUGAGUUUGAAGUUGGAAUUAUCUGUUAUUUUAGGUAAAUUAAGUUUGUUAAUAUGUCUUAAUACGAUAUCAUGGGUCCACCUAGGAUGAAACGAACUUUGAGGGAUAGCAUCGAGCUAGCUCUAGAAAUACUUAGAGAUUGUGGUUUAAGCCAACCAAGUAAGUUUCUCUAUUAUUGGUCUAGUUGGAUGAAUUGUAUUAUCUAUAAUGACGCGUGUCCCGUGACCCUUGCACAUGUCAUAUGUAUAGAAGAUAUGCUAUGCUAUGCCAUGUUGUUUGUUGUUAUGCUAUGUUGAGUUAUGUCAUGUAUAUAAGUGUUAUGUCAUGUAUAUAAGUCAAGUUAUAUUGUGACUAUCAUGUCGCAUAAAAUGUUAUGAUUUCGAUAAUCUAUGAUCUAUAAACUUCCAUAGACCAUGAUGAAAGCUAUGCUAUGUAUGAAAGAAUUGACACGGAUUAUGUAUGUAUAAUCACAGAUUCAUUA
Long non-coding RNA from Cucurbita moschata (crookneck pumpkin), 1613 nucleotides. RefSeq lists it as uncharacterized. The record is from RefSeq and is a predicted model, not a curated record. Lineage: Eukaryota; Viridiplantae; Streptophyta; Magnoliopsida; Cucurbitales; Cucurbitaceae. The transcript has 2 exons.